Molecule: RNA transcript, 2294 nt
Organism: Manihot esculenta (cassava)
Lineage: Eukaryota; Viridiplantae; Streptophyta; Magnoliopsida; Malpighiales; Euphorbiaceae
Gene name: WD repeat-containing protein DDB_G0290555-like
Exons: 2
Source: RefSeq, a predicted model, not a curated record
CCGCGUUCAUGCUUUGGUGGCCAAAACCAGAACACAUCACCUUAGCUACAAAUGCAGAUACCAUAAUCAUCCAUCGACUGCAAAUAUAGUAAUCAGGGUUCCGGGGCAGUCGAAGAAAACUAAGGAGAUAACCGUUAACCAUGCCUCUCUAAAGACUAGGGAGAGAAAACUAACCUCAUUGCUUCAUAUUCUAAAACUCCUGAAUUGCCGUUUCAGUGGGCACAUGGUCUUUUGCUGUUGGGUUGCACUAACUAUAGUGGGACUACAUUAAUAUUUAGAGUAAAAUAUACUCUUAAUAAAUAAAAUUAUGUUUUUAUAAAAAAAAUUAAAAGGUAUAAAUUUAUUUAUGGCAAUGAGUCAACCCUGGAAAUUACAGGAUCAACUUCUUUAAGACUAUCAAUGGAGCAACUUCCCAAAAUCAUCCAAAAUUUUCUUCUGCUUCACUGUAAUAAUAUCUGUAUAGGUUUGGUCAGUUUGAGUAGUUAGGGUCUGGCUUUGUGGCGUCUCUUUCUUCAGUCGGUUUAUUUGUCUAUGUUCCCUGCAGCCCUUGAUAUCCUUUUUUCCACAUUGUUGCCUCUCUUUUAUUAUUAGUUUAAAUGUUGGUUUGUUUCUGAUGAUUCUUUUUAAAGUGAAUUUUCUUUAUCAGGGAAAUUGUUAGGAUGCUUUUCGGGGAUGAGUUCUGGAAGCAUCAGAUCCAUUGCCAGGCAUCCUGAGCUCCCUGUGAUAGGUUCUCGUGUUGAGUUUGUGGCCUAAUUUUUCUCUUUUUGGAUUGCUUAACAUAGUCCAUCUAAUAGAACUCUUUGCUCUUUAUUUAUUUUUCUGGGGCUAAUUUUUCUUCCUGAUCUUCUCAAUCGUUUUUAGGUCUUGGUAGCUAUUUGCGCUUGUGGGAUAUAAAGACACGACAACUUCUUUCAGCAGUAUAUUCCUGGAUGUUAUUUCUGUAAACUCUGAAAUAACUAGUUUGGCAAUCAACAGUUUAACAUUGAGCAUUGCUUUAAUGAUCCUCUAAAAGCUGAAUCACUAAUUUUAAAAGGAUAUCAAUCCAUCAUCUGAACUAGUAACUCAUCCUCUCUCUCUUUUCUUCUCCCACAAGAUUUGAAUGCUUGAGAUGGAACAAUGACAUAGAGAAACUGGACAAAUUGUUAAAUUUCUUAUUCCUUUGGAUAGACUACAGAAUCAGUAUCAGGGUUUGCUGGUCUUAUAUUACAUCGUUGAUUGUGAAUAUUUUUCCAAACUCAUUUUCAGAUGGUGUUUAAUGUCUGGAUUGCAAGAGUUCCUAUUUGAAUGUGGUUAUGGAAUUAUGAGGAUAUGCCACAUUCCAGAUUCAAGUCAUUUUAACCCGCUAUAUUGUAUCAUUGAUGCAGGUUUUACUCAAGCAGCAUCUCGCUAACGUUGUUUUUUAUUCCAAUUUUACUGACAGAGCGAUGAAAAAGAACAAGUUGUUGCGUAGACCUGUGUUCUGGUUUAAUGAGUAGAUGACUUACUUUUGCCAGCAAAGCAAUAAUUACAAGGGAUUAUAAUGUACAGAAUGCUACAAUUGGUCAUUUUCUUUCUAAUUCUAGUUGCUUUAGAUUUCUGUCUAUAGUGUAGGUUAAAUGUUCUAUGAAAUGAAAUACUCGAGGCCGUAGCUUAUUCGAUAGGAUCAUGACGCUAGUUGUCUUCCCUAUGGAAAGAUUCAAAAAAGGGUGGUCUAGAGAAGAAUGAAAAAUCCCAUGUUUCUCUUGAAAUUUUUUUGUUGCAAGCUUUCGAUGUCCAAUGAGAGUUGCGAACUAUGAAAACUUGGUAUGUUUUGGAUCUUUAGGUUUUUGACAUUGCAGCCUCAGUUUUGUCAUUAAUGGUAUAAUUUGUUUAUUCGAAGUGCUAACUAAGCUUAGCUGCUGAUAGUGAAUCCCUUUUGUGCAAGCAGAAAUUACAGUGCAAGCACAGAGUGUGAAUGAGAUACAAAAGGAAAACGAGAAUAGUGCCUGCAAAAAGAAAGAAAGCAUCUAAAGAAAAUGGAUGAAAAAAUAAGGCACCUAAAGAAAAUGAUGGAAGCAAGAGGUCAGAAUCCAAGGAAAAGAGUUGAUGAAAGUAAAGCGAGAUUCGUAACAAGAGAUUACCUACUUUGCUUAUGCUAUUGACAUGGUGAAGGAUGAGAUCACAUGUUGCAACAGGAUAACAGGGCAAGGGUUAUGCUUAUGCAGCAUAUCUUUGGAAUUUCAAGUGGCAGAACAACACUAUUGCUUCUUUCUGCCCUUUGCACUCGAUGUAGACACUUGUUCCAUGCAAUCAAUCAUUUAAGCUACAAAUUUUAA